Molecule: small nucleolar RNA, 135 nt
Organism: Pteronotus mesoamericanus
Lineage: Eukaryota; Metazoa; Chordata; Mammalia; Chiroptera; Mormoopidae
Product: small nucleolar RNA SNORA61
Exons: 1
Source: RefSeq, a predicted model, not a curated record
ACCCUCCACUUCACUUUCCCAUUGGAUCUCAACACCAGUCUUGCUGGUUGCUUAAAAGGAGGACAAGUAAUAAUGAAGCUGGCCCCACAGUGCUUGUAGUCUGCUCUAUAGUAUGUGGGCUAGUUUCAAACAAGG